This 284-nucleotide long non-coding RNA is filed under the name Panax ginseng (ginseng). RNAcentral's name for it is "long non-coding RNA (PGIN_LNC016715)". Lineage: Eukaryota; Viridiplantae; Streptophyta; Magnoliopsida; Apiales; Araliaceae. The record is from RNAcentral.
UUUGAUAAAAAGUUCAAUCAAUAUUUUGGCAUAAUGAUAUUGAAGAAAAUAAUAUCAUUUGAAAAAGAAAUAACAUCAUUUACCUCAAAAUAACCGUACUUCUGACUGUAUUUUCGGUAUAGUGCUGACAGAAACUCGCACCGUAUAGCAACACUCAAAGUAUACUCACAAGAAUACGCUCGAUAAUAUAGAGAGAGAAAGAGAGAAAACUUAGUUUCUGGUGUGAUUUUCAAUUCUAACUUAGCCCUCUAUUUAUAGGAAAAUGUUAGAACGCCAAAGGAGAC